This 245-nucleotide ribosomal RNA is filed under the name uncultured bacterium. RNAcentral's name for it is "partial 16S ribosomal RNA". It matches the Rfam family "Bacterial small subunit ribosomal RNA", at positions 524 to 768 of the family's 1533-position model. The record is from RNAcentral.
GACAGAGGAGGCUAGCGUUGUUCGGAAUCACUGGGCUUAAAGCGGGUGUAGGCGGCUGCGCAAGUGUCCUGUGAAAGCCCCCGGCUCAACCGGGGAACGGCAGGGCAAACUACGUGGCUUGAGGCUGGUAGAGGUGCCUGGAACUCUCGGUGGAGCGGUGAAAUGCGUAGAUAUCGAGAGGAACGCCAGAGGCGAAAGCGGGGCACUGGGCCAGUUCUGACGCUGAGACCCGAAAGCGUGGGGAG